RNAcentral lists this ribosomal RNA (188 nucleotides) under Bacteroidetes bacterium enrichment culture clone L1. Its description in RNAcentral is "partial 16S ribosomal RNA". It matches the Rfam family "Bacterial small subunit ribosomal RNA", at positions 339 to 524 of the family's 1533-position model. Lineage: Bacteria; Pseudomonadati; Bacteroidota. The record is from RNAcentral.
UUACGGGAGGCAGCAGUAAGGAAUAUUGGUCAAUGCCCGGAAGGGUGAACCAGCCAUGCCGCGUGCAGGAUGACGGCCCUAUGGGUUGUAAACUGCUUUUGGAUAGGAAGAAAGUGGAGUAUUAAUACUUUUUUGACGGUACUAUCAGAAUAAGCACCGGCUAACUCCGUGCCAGCAGCCGCGGUAAU